UACGUAGGGUGCGAGCGUUGUCCGGAAUUAUUGGGCGUAAAGAGCUCGUAGGCGGUGUGUCACGUCGUUCGUGAAAACCUGCAGCUUAACUGUGGGCGUGCGGUCGAUACGGGCAUCACUGGAGUUCGGCAGGGGAGACUGGAAUUCCUGGUGUAGCGGUGAAAUGCACAGAUAUCAGGAGGAACACCGGUGGCGAAGGCGGGUCUCUGGGCCGAUACUGACGCUGAGGAGCGAAAGCGUGGGGAGCGAACAGG
This 254-nucleotide ribosomal RNA is filed under the name uncultured bacterium. RNAcentral's name for it is "partial 16S ribosomal RNA". It matches the Rfam family "Bacterial small subunit ribosomal RNA", at positions 524 to 776 of the family's 1533-position model. The record is from RNAcentral.